CAGUCGCCGCGGUAAUACGAAGGGUGCAAGCGUUAAUCGGAAUUACUGGGCGUAAAGCGCGCGUAGGUGGUUUGGUAAGAUGGAUGUGAAAUCCCCGGGCUCAACCUGGGAACUGCAUCCAUAACUGCCUGACUAGAGUACGGUAGAGGGUGGUGGAAUUUCCUGUGUAGCGGUGAAAUGCGUAGAUAUAGGAAGGAACACCAGUGGCGAAGGCGACCACCUGGACUGAUACUGACACUGAGGUGCGAAAGCGUGGGGAGCAAACAGGAUUAGAUACCCCCGUAGUCCCUGUCUUCUUAUA
This 301-nucleotide ribosomal RNA is filed under the name uncultured bacterium. RNAcentral describes it as "partial 16S ribosomal RNA". It matches the Rfam family "Bacterial small subunit ribosomal RNA", at positions 509 to 809 of the family's 1533-position model. The record is from RNAcentral.